RNAcentral lists this ribosomal RNA (497 nucleotides) under uncultured bacterium. RNAcentral describes it as "partial 16S ribosomal RNA". It matches the Rfam family "Bacterial small subunit ribosomal RNA", at positions 28 to 507 of the family's 1533-position model. The record is from RNAcentral.
GAUGAACGCUGGCGGCGUGCCUAAUACAUGCCAGUCGAGCGAACAGAUGAGGAGCUUGCUCCUCUGACGUUAGCGGCGGACGGGUGAGUAACACGUGGAUAACCUACCUAUAAGACUGGGAUAACUUCGGGAAACCGGAGCUAAUACCGGAUAAUAUAUUGAACCGCAUGGUUCAAUAGUGAAAGACGGUUUUGCUGUCACUUAUAGAUGGAUCCGCGCCGCAUUAGCUAGUUGGUAAGGUAACGGCUUACCAAGGCAACGAUGCGUAGCCGACCUGAGAGGGUGGUCGGCCACACUGGAACUGAGACACGGUCCAGACUCCUACGGGAGGCAGCAGUAGGGAAUCUUCCGCAAUGGGCGAAAGCCUGACGGAGCAACGCCGCGUGAGUGAUGAAGAUCUUCGGAUCGUAAAACUCUGUUAUUAGGGAAGAACAAAUGUGUAAGUAACUAUGCACGUCUUGACGGUACCUAAUCAGAAAGCCACGGCUAACUACGUG